AGAAAGUUUACCGAUCAGCUUUUUCAAAGUGUCAUGCACUGUGAAACAAGUGCGGAAGAUCCACUCUUGCAGCUGAAGCUGUAGAGGAUGCUUGCUCACUCCAGCUUCUACGUCCAAAUACCACAAGAUGGAACUCGCUCUUCCUCGCUGUCGAAAGGCUGCUAAGAAUCCUCAAAGACAAAGGAGAGGUGACCAUCAGAAAUCUUUGCAAUGACUUCAAAGUUUCAAUGUUCAACCCGGCAGAACUGGCAUUUUUGGGCGAGUAUGCCAUUGUGAUGACUCCAGUUGCCCAAGCAACAAACAUCCUCCAAGCAGAAACCAACGCCCAGAUGGGGUGGCUACUACCCACAAUCACGUUGCUGUCCGUUAAAUUGGACAGAGUAA
Molecule: long non-coding RNA, 384 nt
Organism: Amphiprion ocellaris (clown anemonefish)
Lineage: Eukaryota; Metazoa; Chordata; Actinopteri; Pomacentridae
Exons: 3
Source: RefSeq, a predicted model, not a curated record